This 747-nucleotide small RNA is filed under the name Drosophila ananassae. Its description in RNAcentral is "GF26774". The record is from RNAcentral. Lineage: Eukaryota; Metazoa; Arthropoda; Insecta; Diptera; Drosophilidae.
AAGUACUCUUUGCUAUAGUUCUACGCAAUUAUUCUAAAGUCAAGACAAGCAAACUCAACAAUUUACUUCAGAUUCAAAUACAAGUUUAUACGACAUGGAUGCGAAAAUGUGGUCUAUCUUGGCGCUUAUUGCAAUGUGUGCUGGGAAACUAUAUAUCCACCAGGAAGAUCUUCGAAUUUCCUACAAUAAAAUCGUUUCCCAGAUCAGAAAUGAGACGAUUGUGGUCCUCAAGAAUUUCAUGGGCUUUAUAAAUAAAAUGCAGCAUAAGAUAAAAAAAUGUCGGAUCGAAGCGAAAAAAAAUUUUGGGACCCGAGCGGGAGCUAUGUUGUGUGCGCCUGAGGGAGUUUUCAAUUUAUUUGGCUAAUUUCAAUUAGCCAACUGCACAAAUGGAGACGCAAAGAAUGCUGCUGCAGUGUUCUCUGUAGUUUACUUAAUUAAUGUUGUUCAGGAUGGGGCUUAGGGAACUUCGGCCGUUUCCGUUUCCCUCCCCGAAGUAAAGCGACACUAAAAAGAAGCCCCAAAAAGUAUGCAACGAAAAUAGUACGACAGAGGAAACUCUAGAAUCCGAUUACAAGAACUUAUUUGCGCAGAAAGAGAAAUGUGAGAAAAUAUAACCGUAAACAAAAAAAGAAUAUUUCCAUAAUAACACUUAAUAAUACAUUUCGUAAUUCUGUAAGUUUUCAUAACUUAAAAUGUCAUAAAGAAACAAGCAGUCAUUGUUUGUGCCAAGAAAUAAUAAAAACUUAA